GCGAUGGUAGGAGCCUUCCAGUUCAGUCACUCAGGAUGUGCUUCUGGUGAAAGUGGAGGAGAUCCGAGUGUAAAAAAAUGCCACUGUACUGCAAACUGGCAAUGCAAUGAAUGCAUGCAUGAAUGGCACUGCAGACCACAUGUGCACACUUAUCUGGACACGCCUCACAGGUUUGUGAAGAGGAGUCUGGGAAAAGCCAGGCCCAAGGAAGGGUACUUCUUGAUCCAAAGCUUGCCUAACACUCUCCCAACCAUAAAGUUGCACCAGUGAAAAAUAUCGCCAAAAUGCAUGCUUCUAUCAGUUCCUGGAUCAUCAUGGCUAC
Molecule: long non-coding RNA, 322 nt
Organism: Alligator sinensis (Chinese alligator)
Lineage: Eukaryota; Metazoa; Chordata; Crocodylia; Alligatoridae
Exons: 3
Source: RefSeq, a predicted model, not a curated record